GAUGAAGAACGUAGCGAAAUGCGAUACUUGGUGUGAAUUGCAGAAUCCCGUGAACCAUCGAGUCUUUGAACGCAAGUUGCGCCCGAAGCCAUUAGGCCGAGGGCACGCCUGCCUGGGCGUCACACGUCGUUGCCCCCCCAUCUACUCCUUCGGGAUUGCGGGGGGCGGCUGAUGGCCUCCCGUGCGCCUCGUCGCGCGGUUGGCAUAAAUGCCAAGUCCUCGGCGACACACGCCACGACAAUCGGUGGUUGCGAAACCUCGGUUGCCCGUCGUGUGCGGUCGUCGCGCAUCGAGGGCUCGAAAAAAUUGCCGGGCUCCGGCUCGGCUUUCAACGCGACCCCAGGUCAGGCGGGGUUACCCGCUGAAUUUAAGCAUAUCAAUAAGCGGAGGA
Molecule: unclassified non-coding RNA, 391 nt
Filed under: soil metagenome
Description: partial contains 5.8S ribosomal RNA, internal transcribed spacer 2, and large subunit ribosomal RNA
Rfam family: 5.8S ribosomal RNA (bases 1-122)
Source: RNAcentral